RNAcentral lists this ribosomal RNA (253 nucleotides) under uncultured bacterium. RNAcentral's name for it is "partial 16S ribosomal RNA". It matches the Rfam family "Bacterial small subunit ribosomal RNA", at positions 524 to 776 of the family's 1533-position model. The record is from RNAcentral.
UACGUAGGGGGCAAGCGUUAUCCGGAUUUACUGGGUGUAAAGGGAGUGUAGACGGUAAUGUAAGUCUGAUGUGAAAGCCCGGGGCUCAACCCCGGGACUGCAUUGGAAACUAUGUAACUAGAGUACCGGAGAGGUAAGCGGAAUUCCUAGUGUAGCGGUGAAAUGCGUAGAUAUUAGGAGGAACACCAGUGGCGAAGGCGGCUUACUGGAUGGAAACUGACGUUGAGGCUCGAAAGCGUGGGGAGCAAACAGG